CGGGCCGGGGUUCUAUCGCUGUCAUCCAGGGCCCGCCCGCCCACCUCAGGGACCGUGAGAGCGAACCGGGAGUGCGGGGGAGGAGCGGCUGGGCCCGCCUGGGCAGGGGCCGCCCAGGAGAGGCGGGGCCUUGACCCCGGGCCUCGAUCUAUGGCACGGUGUCUUUCCGGGUGUCGCUGGGAAAUUGAGGAUAGGAAGUCACGGCCACUUGGUUCUUGGGACACUGUAUAGCAGUGAGCUGCCUUGCCUCUGCCACCUGUCGGUGGGAUGGGGCUGCUGGUGCCUGGGGUCCCCUGUGCUCCCCCGGAACCGAAAGGCUGUUCCCUAGUCCCCGCCGGCAAAGAGCCCACCUUUGGGGGACCGAAGUGGGGAAGCUGAUUGCCCCAAGAGAGGCCUGAUUCUUGUUCUCACCAGGAGAUAAUGGUCCUUGUGAGGCUUUGGAUCCAUAGAGUCAUCCACAGUUCACCCACCCAUCCUCAGCCUCCAAGAAAACUCCAGUGACCCUUUUCUGGAAAGCUGUGCAGAUGGGGAAAAACAUACCAAUCCUAUCACAGGGGACGUAAUCCCUAAGAGUUGAUCUGAACCCAUCUUGCUGCAGUAGAGCGUUUACUAGAGCAGCAUUUUUCAACCUUGACUGUGCAGCAGAAUCGCCUGUGGAAGUCUGAAAAAGACAGCUUUUACCCUGGACCAGCUGCAUCACAAUCUUCCCGAGCUUGCGAGUGGCAGCACUGAGCCAAGGUAUCGGCCUGGGAUUCUUGUGCUGUCACUGGAGAGCCACCCAGACUGGGAGAGAACAUCCUCUGCCCCAGCCAGGGCAAACCAGUUCCCCGAUGAUUCUCCUGUGCAGCUCACCUAACGUAUUUGUCAGGUUCUUGCUGAAGCUCAGCAUGGGAAAUUCUCAUAGUCUACGUCUACAUCUUUUGUUUUGCAUGACCAACAUCAAUUCCCCUUUCUUUUUAUUACUAUUCCCCAGCCAGCAGUUUCCUUUGGGGAGCCACCUUAAUCCAUGUGGUUGGGGGCAGAUAGCCCCUACUCUACAUCUAUAAGUAGGUAUGUUCCCUGGGCCUGGCCAUCCACCCAGGGGUGGCCUAGCCUAGGAGUGGUUCAUUUCCCUAGCUGUAGUGAUUGAGUCAGGAUGGGCACAUGACCCAAACCAGGCCAAUGAGAAUCACUUUUUCCAGAACUCUUGGGAAAGGGAAAUUCCCUUUCCCUGAUGGUACUAAGCCAAUAGGAUGUAAGCCUGGAGGCCGUUUCGCCCACAGGCCUGGAGAGCCUGCCUGAGAAUGAAGCCAAUGCAGGGGAAGUCAGAGAGAAGAGACAUACAGAAGAGAGAGACAAACGUACAGAAGGUCCCUGGACUCAGCCUGAGCUUUUUAGUUAUGCAGGCCAAUGAAUUCCUUUUUUAUUGAAUAAAAUAAAACAUCCUCAGUUAGUUUCUCUCACUCACAACCUAACCAGUUGAACACCCAUUAUCAACAACAAUAAAAACUUCCCUGAGGACUAACUGCAGUCAAGGUUUGGGAAUAAGAUCCAUGGCAUAGGCCUUUGCCUCUAAGGAUCUUACAGCUGGGUAGAAGAGAGCCUGGAUUCUAUGUUACAAGAGAAUAAAGAAUAGAAAGGAAGCAGCCCUGUUAGCCAGCAAAACUCAGUGACACUAAGGGACAUAGGAGAUAAGAGAAGGGAGAGAUUCCAGGAGGCUGGGAGACGGUCAGGGACAAUGAAGAGAUUUUGGAGGAGAAGGAACGUGAGAAGGCCCAAACUUUGUGGUGGGGAAGUGAGAAGCUGUUUCAGGCCAGGCUUGGGGGUGGGUUGGCCAGGAGCGCCCAUGUGUGGUCUGUCUGGGGAAAAUGAGGCUGGAAGGGGACGAAAUGGGC
RNAcentral lists this long non-coding RNA (1874 nucleotides) under Homo sapiens (human). Its description in RNAcentral is "HSALNT0095029". Lineage: Eukaryota; Metazoa; Chordata; Mammalia; Primates; Hominidae. The record is from RNAcentral.